RNAcentral lists this ribosomal RNA (253 nucleotides) under uncultured bacterium. Its description in RNAcentral is "partial 16S ribosomal RNA". It matches the Rfam family "Bacterial small subunit ribosomal RNA", at positions 524 to 776 of the family's 1533-position model. The record is from RNAcentral.
UACGUAGGGUCCGAGCGUUGUCCGGAAUUAUUGGGCGUAAAGGGCUCGUAGGCGGUUUGUCGCGUCGGGAGUGAAAACAGCGGGCUUAACUCGUUGCUUGCUUCCGAUACGGGCAGACUAGAGGUAUGCAGGGGAGAAUGGAAUUCCUGGUGUAGCGGUGAAAUGCGCAGAUAUCAGGAGGAACACCGGUGGCGAAGGCGGUUCUCUGGGCAUUACCUGACGCUGAGGAGCGAAAGUGUGGGGAGCGAACAGG